AAAUUGAAGAGUUUGAUCAUGGCUCAGAUUGAACGCUGGCGGCAGGCCUAACACAUGCAAGUCGAACGGUAACAGGAAGAAGCUUGCUUCUUUGCUGACGAGUGGCGGACGGGUGAGUAAUGUCUGGGAAACUGCCUGAUGGAGGGGGAUAACCACUGGAAACGGCAGCUAAUACCGCAUAACGUGGCAAGACCAAAGAGGGGGACCUUCGGGCCUCUUGCCAUCGGAUGUGCCCAGAUGGGAUUAGCUAGUAGGUGGGGUAACGGCUCACCUAGGCGACGAUCCCUCGCUGGU
This 294-nucleotide ribosomal RNA is filed under the name Escherichia coli. RNAcentral describes it as "partial 16S ribosomal RNA". It matches the Rfam family "Bacterial small subunit ribosomal RNA", at positions 1 to 291 of the family's 1533-position model. Lineage: Bacteria; Pseudomonadati; Pseudomonadota; Gammaproteobacteria; Enterobacterales; Enterobacteriaceae. The record is from RNAcentral.